CCUACGGGAGGCAGCAGUAGGGAAUAUUGGGCAAUGGAGGCAACUCUGACCCAGCCAUGCCGCGUGCAGGAUGAAGGCGUUAUGCGUUGUAAACUGCUUUUAUAUAGGAAGAAAGAGUUCUUGCGAGAACAGUUGACGGUACUAUAUGAAUAAGCACCGGCUAACUCCGUGCCAGCAGCCGCGGUAAUACGGAGGGUGCAAGCGUUGUCCGGAUUUAUGGGUUUAAAGGGUGCGUAGGCGGUUUAUAAGUCAGUGGUGAAGACGGUCGCUCAACGAUUGCAGUGCCAUUGAUACUGGUAGACUUGAGUGAGAUUGAGGUAGCUGGAAUGGAUAGUGUAGCGGCGAAAUGCAUAGAUAUUAUCCAGAACACCAAUUGCGUAGGCAAGUUACUAAGUCUUAACUGACGCUGAGGCACGAAAGUGUGGGUAUCAAACAGGAUUAGAUACCCUGGUAGUCCACACUGUAAACGAUGAUAACUAACUGUUGGCUUUCGGGGUNAGUGUACAGAGAAUUACGUUAAGUUAUCCACCGUGGGUAGGUACGCCGGCGAACGGUAGAACGUAAAGUAGUAGUUAGAGGCGUGAGACGUAGACGACGGACGACGACGAGGGAGGAGG
RNAcentral lists this ribosomal RNA (617 nucleotides) under uncultured bacterium. RNAcentral's name for it is "bacterial SSU rRNA". The stretch from base 1 to 530 matches the Rfam family "Bacterial small subunit ribosomal RNA", at positions 338 to 873 of the family's 1533-position model. The record is from RNAcentral.